CUGAUGCUGCGUCCCCAUUAGAGAGAAGACAAUCUGCGCGCGCUGUCCCUCUGUUGGAUCCAAUAAGACAAGAAAAGAGGAAAACAUGUCUAAAAUGACGAUCGUUCAGCUGGGGAUGUUUGUGUUCGCGAUUUCCUUAACAACACAGGUGGUCUCCCAGAACAACACAUACAUGACAGGAAUGAACUCCACCUCCAACUCCACCGCCAUGCCCACAGAGACCUACAGCAGUUCGGGUAACUCCACCGCUCCCGCUGGAGGCGCGGGCAUCUCUUUGCACGCAGGCACCCUCUCUGUCCUGAUCCCCAUCGUCACAGUGGCCUCCCUCCUUCAGCGCUGCUGUUGAGCACCUCUCGUCUUCCUUUCUUCUUCGUCAUGCUGUUUCUCGCCUCCCAUCUGUCACACUCAGAGACCACGACAUGGAUGGACACCAAAUCCCUCUUUGUCCCAAUUUAAUUAUGGCUAAAAAUGAAUUAUUCUAGACGUCUCUCUUUAUUCAAGGAUCUUUUGACUUGGAAUCAUCAACCUCCCCCACCCCCCAUCACUUCAGCGCCUUAUGGAAUCAAAAGGAAUGCACCCAGCUUCCCCUUUGGCCUGCGUUUUCAUCGACAGGCCCUCAUCUACUGCCUGUUGCAGAGGCCCAAGGGUUGUCUCGUCACGUGUUGUCUGAAAGGUGGACCAUUUGGGUGCGCAGAGCUUCAUUCUGUGGCUUUAAAUCCACACUACGACAUAUAUCCAAAUAUUCUUGUCUGUUAAAGUGAAGAUUGGCACCACUGGAGGUUUAAGAAUUGUGUUUGCGUGUAAACCAGACGGUAUCUUGAGCUGGGAUUUUUUUUCUUCAAAGUUUGGGUCUCUGGUUUUGUUACUGGAUAUAAUGUUGAUGUAUGCAGCACUGGGUUGCCACAUGUGUCAGUUUUGCCUUUUGAUUUUUAAAAAGUUUUUAACAAUGAGGGUGUAACACAUUUCCUCUCUUCAUAGAUGGGUUAAACCCAGGAAAUGACUGUUACCAGAAAGGUUUUACCGUAUAACUUCACCCGCCUCCCACCUCUUGUAGAAUAUAUUUUGUAUAAAUGGAAAUGUACUGUUUAUUAGUUUAAAUACAAGCCACUAAAAUAAAUGACAAUGUACAAUAAAUUGACAAUGGACCACUGUA
Oryzias latipes (Japanese medaka) is the source of this 1153-nucleotide long non-coding RNA. RefSeq lists it as uncharacterized. The record is from RefSeq and is a predicted model, not a curated record. Lineage: Eukaryota; Metazoa; Chordata; Actinopteri; Beloniformes; Adrianichthyidae.